This 127-nucleotide non-coding RNA is filed under the name Triticum aestivum (bread wheat). Its description in RNAcentral is "Bacterial large subunit ribosomal RNA". It matches the Rfam family "Bacterial large subunit ribosomal RNA", at positions 1059 to 1186 of the family's 2925-position model. Lineage: Eukaryota; Viridiplantae; Streptophyta; Magnoliopsida; Poales; Poaceae. The record is from Rfam by way of RNAcentral.
CUCAGUGAUAAAGGCCGUGGGGGUGCAAAGAAAGCCAGGAGGUUUGCCUAGAAGCAGCCACCCUUUAAAGAGUGCGUAAUAGCUCACUAAUCGAGCGCCCUUGCGCUAAAGUAAAAUACACAUAGAG